Callithrix jacchus (white-tufted-ear marmoset) is the source of this 9632-nucleotide non-coding RNA. NCBI's taxonomy places the organism in Eukaryota, Metazoa, Chordata, Mammalia, Primates, Cebidae. The record is from RefSeq and is a predicted model, not a curated record.
GGCUGGUACUUCCUAGGCCUGGGGAGACUGGAGAAGCCUCAGGCAGCUGACAGAUGGGGAGAGGGGAGGAGAGGGAGGGAGCCGAGAGCUGAAGAUUGUGGGGCAGUGGAAUCUAUUUCUAGAGAGAAAGGGGUGGUGUGAAUGCCCGGGAGCCAUGGGAAGGACUGGGGUGAGCUCAUGGAGGCUGCAUGUGAAUGGUGCUGAAGAGAAAGAGGACUGUGUGUGAAGACCAGGCCCCAGCGCACAUUCAGCCCUCCUGGAGGCGGUCCCUUCAUCUCACCACAGUGAAGGAGCCACCCCAGCAAGCGUGAUUGCCACCACCCCAAGAUGGGGAUGAAGAAGGACCCUGUCCUCAGGGCUCCCAGCCAAGCCUCUCCGGGGCUCCAUGCCAAGUGGUAACAAGGUUCCUGCUUUCUUUCCCAUGUGGGAGCUGGUCUGCCCUCACUGUCAAAGGUCCCCAGAAGUGAUCUGGGAGCUGGUGAAACGCCAGAGAGCUUUGCUUUGCGGUGGCUGUGGUUCGUACAGACCAACUCAUGUUGCUUGGGUCAAAGUUUUCUACCCUCCUGGCAGCUGACUGUUUCCAAAAAUGGGGAAGGCUACUUGCCACGUGUCUCUUAGAUGGACUUCUCUACAGAGCCCAGAGAGGCCCCUUAAUUUGGUGGCACCACACGUUGGAUGGGCUUCUGGAAGUCAGUGAACACCCUGAGAGGAAUCUGCAACCUUAAGAGUGAACCCUCGCCGGGCGUGGUGGCUCAAGCCGGAAAUCCCAGCACUUUGGGAGGCCGAGGCGGGUGGAUCACGAGAUCAAGAGAUCGAGACCAUCCUGGUCAACAUGAUUAUAGAUGAUGAGGAGGCUUGAAUUCACUCUCCCUGACUCUGAAGACCCAGCCGUUUCCCUCAGUUUCCAGUUUUGCUGGCACCCUCAGGGUGAGUAGAGGUCUGGGUGGGAAGCUGGAGGUGAAGCUAGCAGCACGUUGGAAGCUCUGCCCAUUCCUGAUGGGGCUCACCUUCUCUCUGCUGGCCUGGGGAAUGCUCCUGAGAUUCCUGAGUUGGCUUGGCGCUGGCUUCCUUGGCCCCCUCCCUCCCAAGUAGCAGCUGUGAAGUUGACGAAUUACGCUAAACUGUGAUGCCUCCUCGGGAGCCUGUUGCAGGACGUGCUGUGAUGGCUUCCCAAGAAGGCGACAGGCACGUGGUCUGCAAACGAGCCGGUUUGCUCCCUCGCUCAGCACAGCAGCUGCUCAGAGGCAGCGUGGGCUCUGAGCGGCCCGCCAGGGGAGCCUAUUAAGAGCCACAACACUGUGAAAAGCACAGCAGAAACGCUCCAUUAAAUCUCGUGGGGGGCCUGCUUAACAAUGGGACCUGCCCCGGGAGUCGGCGCUCCACUCAACCCUGCCUCAGUCUCCAGCCUGGCUCUCCUCGCUCUGCCCCUUCAGUCUCUUCCCUAAAGGGCUUCGGGCUUGAGAAGCUCUGAGUGUCUGGCUGGAGUUGGUAAAACUGUGGCUGGAAGGGUGUAGCCAGGGCCCAAGCAGGCAGCGAAUCCAAUGGCAAUGUUCUCUACACGGCCUGGGAUGGGAAUAAGCGUGCUAUCGGGUGUAGGGCAUGAUAUUGAUGAGGAUGCUGACAGCAAGGAUCAUCUGGGCAUAGGGACCUCUGCUCUGGACCUGCCCGCUCUGGCCCCCUUCCAGCCAUAUUCCUCCCCAAAGGGCAAUAAAUCCUUAAGGCCAGGAGGAUACAUCUGCCCAAGGACAGUAAUCCUCUUUCUUUUAUUUUUUUUUGAGACGGAGUUUAACUCUGUUGCCCAGGCUGGAGUGCAAUGGCACAAUCUCAGCGCACUGCAACCUCCACCUCCCAGGUUCAAGUGAUCCUCCUGCCUCAGCCCCCCUAGUGGCUGGGAUUACAGGCACCUGCCACCACGCCCGGCUAAUUUUUGUAUUUUUAGUAGAGACUGGGUUUCUCCAUUUUGGCCAGGCUGGUCUCAAACUCCUGACCUCAGGUGAUCCACCCGCCUCAGCCUCCCAAAAUGCUGGGAUUAAAGGCGUGAGCCACUGCACCUGGUUCAGUGACCUUUUUUCUACACCAUACUUCCGGUACUCAAGAACCUGCAAUUCCCUGCCAAAUGGCUCCACAUCUGCUGCUAGGUCUGUGUAAGCUUCUUCCCAGCACUUUCUUUAAAGAAUGGAGUGUCCCACUGGGGGUACGGACAGAGCUUGGACAUGCCAGCUGCGUGUCCGCAUGUGUGCGAGGUCCCUCAAAGGCACGACAGAGCCCAGUGUGGGAAGAGGUGGGGGGCAGCCUGGGGGCGGGAAGUCAUCUUUCCCCGUAGCUCCAUUUGCCAGUGUGAGCUCCCAGGAGCCUGGAAAUUCUAUAUUUAAACUUUCCAGGCAUAUGAAGGUAUAUUUGUCAAGGUAGGAGGGUAGAGCAUAUUUUUGUUAACAGUUUGUUAGCUUGAUUUAUAAUUGUAACCAUUGUGCUCCUGGGUAAGUGUUUGGGGUGGGCCCAAGCACAGGUGGUGGCGAGAGCAGGCUUUGUUUAUCAUCUGAGUGUCUCAAGCAGGCUAGGCCAACGGCCAUGCCUUCAGACUGGCAAGCCAAGUGCCCAGUGAGAGGCAAACACUGUGGGAUUCUCCAGGCCCCGCAGGAAAGACUCAUUUGUCUUCUGGAAUCUUCUGCUCUGGGAUGAGAAUGGUAAAGAUGAGGGUGCUGGUGAGCUGGCAGGAGCCCUGUAAAGAGGCACCUGGGUAAGCUGUGGUCUGGUGAGGAAAGGGCCCUCAUCCAGGUACAUCCUCCUUGGCCUCUGACCAUGUCCUUGACUUCACCAGCUUGUCAGGGAAGAGACAGAUAUGCUGCUCUUGUCCUCACAUGCUGGUGAUUUUGAGAUCUCAUCUCUUCUUCCUGGUUGUUUACCUCUAUGUGUCCCCUACUGCCCUCCCAUCACAGACACAUCAUGAAGUCGUGCAAUAACUCUUAGGAGGGAACAAACCACCGGGGAGGAAGCUCCUUCCUCGAGGGUCUCCUACCCUGAUAAAGACCUCUGUUGGACAUGGCAGUGUUUCCCCAUGAGCAGUGCUACUAGAGGGCUUGUUUGGGAAGGGGCGUGGAAAGGAGAGUCACCUUUGUGAUUUCCAAGUGGCCUGCUGCUAUUGGCAGGAAUCGGAGGAAAGGAAGAGAGUAGGAAAAGAGCCUUCUUACAUUUAUCAGAAACCAAAAAUGUAUUUGAAAGGCUUUCCUGGAUCUCUGUCUCUGCCUUCAUCUAUGUAUCUGUCACCAAUCUAUCCAUCAGUCACCCUGUCUAUCUAAUCUCUCUCGCUCCCUCCAUCUGUCUAUCAUCUGUGUUUGUUGGUUUCUUUUUUCCAAACAUGAGUUUUUAACAUAUUGACCGCGAUCCUCUAUUUUCUGGGCUGUGAGCCAUAUUAUUACCUCAUUUCAUCCUUAUGAGAACCCUGUGAAGUAUUAUCCUUAUUCCAUAAAUGGGGAAACUGAGACUUUCAGAGGCAAAACAACCAGCCUGAGGCCAUGUAGCUUAGAAAUGGCAGAGUUGGGGCCCAAGUCCGUGUCAUCUGACUUUGAGCUUUUUACUGCUUGCACUGAGGGAAGAUUAUCUCUAGGCAAAUUCUUUCUUCUUCUUUUUUUUUAAAAUCUGGAAGAGAAAUGCUGCCUUGAGUGUUUGCUUAUCUCUCUCGAGCAGGUUCCCAGGGUCUUGAUUUUGGGCUCCAGUCCCGAGGGGCCUGUUGGGGAUCAGCACUGACUUUGCCAUGUGGCUCAGGUUCCCAGGGCCUUGGUUUUGGCUGCAGCCCCGAGGGCCUGACGGGCAUCAGUGCUGACCUUUCCGUGUGGCUGCAGGCUUGGCCCACCUGCUCAUCAGAGCGCUUUGACACUAGUGUACCGUCUGGGUGUGCCUGGCAGUCAGACUGUGCAGGCCGGCUUUGACAAAGUGACAGAAGCUGUAAAAACAGCUGUUUGACAUUCUCUGCUGCUUUUUAGAACAAAACAACUGCAAAGAGGUUGAAUGCAAUGCAGAAAAUACCCGUGUUUCAUGCGUAUAAGGAUAUUUUUACUUACAGAACAUUUAUUUUCUCCUUCCUUUCUCUAUUCCUGUUUAUCUCCCCAAGCAUUUGCUUCCCUUCCUCUUUGCUUCCUUCUUCUACUUCGUCCUCCUUCCUUCCUUUUAUUCUUCUAACUAAAAAAACUUCCUGCUUCUGUUUCUAUGUUUUUUCUCCUCUCAAUUUUCUUCCCUUGAAAUAACUAUUAGCUAUUUUUCCUUGUUUCCCAUUUUCACACCAUCCAUGUCUUGGUGUAUUAAUUUGUCUCUCUAGCUUUGGGUCCAUAUUAUCCCAAAUGUGUAGCUUUAUGAACUCCAGUAUUAGUUAUCUGACAGCCCAUGGUGUCUUCAAUGAAACCAAGGUGUGGACAGGAAAUUCCAAAACAAAAGGAAAUAGUAUCCCCCUGGCAAACCGUCAUUUAAUUUAGAUAACUAAAGGUGUGUAUAAAAGAACGGGACAUCUGGCAGUAAGUGGCAGCCCCACCGGCCACCUCCAUCACCUCCAGUUACAGGAGCUUGGAGAGCUGUUGUCACGUUUAGUUUUAACUUUGAAAUUGUGACUGAGCUCUGCACUGUGGUUUCAUCCAGGUUCAAAAGUGUGCUUCCGUUCAACCAGCUGCUCCUUGCACAAACUCCUUCCUUACAGUGAGAGGAACUCCAGGUUUCAAGGUAUACACAGGUAGGAACAGGUAAAUUAUGUGCAUUCACCUUAAUCAUUAGAUGCAGUUUGACCAAGUUUAACGUGGAAGAUGAACUUUUACAUCCUCCAGUCAUUCUUGGCUCUUGGGAUCACUGGAUUCCGAGUCUUCACUCCUGUGUACGUUACCUGCACCUUCCACGGCCCUUUUGGGUUCUCUUGAACCUAAAAAUCCUUUGCUCCAUGGCCUAUUUAAUCCCACUAAUGCUGUGUCCCCUACCUUCCAUCUCUCUUUCCAUCCCCUUUUCCUCUACUCUAUCCAGACAAAGCUGUUUCUUUCAACUGCCCUUGAAUGUCCUUCACAGUUUUUUCCCCAUGGUUCCUCGUCCCUUGUUCUAAUUAUUUUCCUUCCUAAACUGAUGAGACAUUUCUUGCCUCCUUCCCCUUCUUACUUCCUACUGUCUUAUUCUCCACCAAGAGCCUCCUGGCUUAUCUCAGACUUGGCAUUGCGGAGCUGCCGGUCCAUUUCCACAUGCAGAAGAUGACGUUGGGUCUGCAGCUGGAGACAGCUAUGAUCGCUGUCAGAUCUAUGGCCAAAUACAGGCUUUCUGCUUCAUCCUCCCUGAACUAGAUCUACAAAUAUGUCAUUCACAGAAUGGAGAAGCUUUAAGCCUCCCUCUAAUCCCUGCACGGAGGAGAAAAGAUGAUGGCUACGGGCAGGUAGAGUCUAUAAGAGAGUGCAGGAAGGGUUGAGUUAUGCAUUUACAAAUGCUUCAGGCCGGGCGUGGUGGCUCAAGCCUGUAAUCCCAGCACUUUGGGAGGCCGAGGCGGGUGGAUCACGAGGUCAUGAGAUCGAGACCAUCCUGGUCAACAUGGUGAAACCCUGUCUCUACUAAAGAUACAAAAAAUUAGCUGGGCAUGGUGGUGCGUGCCUGUAAUCCCAGCUACUUGGGAGGCUGAGGCAGGAGAAUUGCCUGAACCCAGGAGGCAGAGGUUGCGGUGAGCCGAGAUCGCGCCAUUGCACUCCAGCCUGGGUAACAAGAGUGAAACUCCGUCUCAAAAAAAAAAACCAAAUGUUUCAUCAACCUUGCCAAUCAGAGAGUUCAUUUCUUCUCCUUUGGGGAGAGCCAGAGGGAGUAGAGAGAGGACGGAGAGGGUUUAAGUGUUCUUUCCCAGGGAAUGGAAUGGAAUGCCUCUUUCCCCAUGGAAACAUAAGAUGUAGGGUAUAGCCUCUUAAUAUUUGACUUUUGGACAGGAAAUAGAAAGGGGCUGUCACAAUUCCCAAGGGGCUAGGAAUUUUGGUGACCUCCUUAAUAUUUUUAUGGUGCAGAGAAGGGUAGAAAUUGAGACUCUUCCAGCCCAUCUCCUACCUCUUUCCCUUGCUGACUUCAGCUCUUACCCAUCCAAUCCUUUAAGGCCUAUACCCACUUGUCCAAGCUCUGCUUGUACAAGUGUGUAUGAGGGGUGCACAUAUUUGUGGCACUGUCCACCCUUGGAAAUAUGGACCUGCAGAAGUGGCCUGUGAAGGGCAGGAAAUUCCAGUGUCCCAGGUACCCAGAGUGUCACCUACAAGGGAGGUCAUAGGCUCCUGGAGGGCAUGUCUCUUCACCUGUGGACUUGUCACCCUUGAGGAGGGGAUAAGAGGGAAGAAGGGUGGACUACAGGGGUCUCUAAACUGUGGAGCCAAGGGCAGAGGCCCUGGUUACCCAGGACCAGGGUGGUACUCUAUAUAUGCCCUAUAGAUUUACCAUAUACCCAUUACUGGGUUUUGCUGACUUCCUGUUCCUGGACAUGUUCUUAUCAGAAGAUGCCCAAGGCAGAAGUGCAACCACACAUGGAAUUGCAGACCUGGGACCUUCUCUUUAGUCUUAACACCUUUCCGAUUCCAGCCAAGAAUGUGUUGUGAUUCCAAAACACUCAACGAUGUGUUAGAUCUAUUCUUGUUUCUGCAUUGAUUCACAAUGAAUAAAAAUUAAGUUGGUACCAAAUUUUAUGGACUCAUUAAAAAAAAAAUUCCUCCUUUUUGAGCAUUAACUAGAUAGUGCCUGUGGAAGCAGAAGGCACUUUUAAUUAGCAUAUUAUCACAGCAAAGAGGAACCCUGAUAAUUGCGCACCAGCCUCAAGCUGCAGCCUUCUCUCACCUGGCAAUCCACUGCCAAGGACUUGUCUCUGUACACCCUACCCACCCUAGCACUCCCAAGACUCAUUUUUAUUACAGAGUCAUCUCCAGUCACAGUACUCCUAUCUUUUGCUUGUCUGUGCUUCUAUGUGCCAGCAGGAUAUUCCCACCCUUACCUCCUCCCAGGUUGCUUGUGUUAGUAAUGAACUUCCAUGCCUAUGCCUUGCUUCCUAUGGUGUUCUCCUGGGAGGUAGGGAUAACAUCUCAAGUGGGUUCUUUGUAAUACCUUUCCUUAUAUUCUAAUGGGUUCCCAGGUAGAAAUGAAAGAGAGCAGUGAGAGAGUAAAAGCACCAAGUAGUAGUUACUUAUGUAGCUCAUAUGCUAUAGAGGAAGACAGAGCUGUUUUCUAGGGUGAUGGUUUUCAAGCUUUACUGGUCCUAAGACUCAACCGAGAAAUGUGUACAAGAUGCAGAUAACCGGCCCUGCUGCCUCAGAGACUCCCAGAAAUUCUGAUCAAGAUUUGAAAACAACUUCCCAGGGGCAUGUCUUUCAAAAGCAGCCUUACCGACAGGAAAUAUCACACGAAUCUUUCAAAAACAAAUACUGUUUGUUUUUUUUUUAAAAAGGAACUUUCCUAAUGAAUGUUGAGAAAGUACAAAUAGAAUAAGUUUUCUUUGCACACACACACAUAUAAAAAUGAUACUAAAAAAUAUACAUGUCAAAUGCAAAAUUGCCUACUUCAUUGAGCUGGUGGGUUUAAUUCACUCAUAAUUAAUCCUAGAUUUAUGUUCAGCUGUGACCGGCCUGCAUUUGACCUUCUUACCUGUCCUCAUGCUCUCUGUUGUUUCUAUGGUUUUUCUCAUUAACUGUUGGAUUUGACAGCCCUGAGGCAGACUCCCAGGUCAGGCUUGGCCACUGACUUCCUGGGCACGCAGUCCCGCCUUCUGCCCACUGGCUGAAAUGUAGAAACAUUCUUUCACACCACUGCUUUCAUCAGGGUUUACGACACAGAAGAAACAUUGUAAAUUGUCUCAUAUUUUUUACGCUUAUUUAAAAAUCCAAAGUAUAAAGUAAACAAAUAAAUGUAUAGUUUAUUUCAUCUCCCAAACGACUCAAAAUAUCCUCUAGACUUCAGACACGCAGUUAGAAAACCAUCCUUUGAAGUUGAAAAAUGAGAACGAGGUUAGAAUACACAUAACUAACCCACUGUGAGUUUGUAAAUGUAUUUUCAGUGAGUUUAGAUUAAUUUGCAAAUCUCCUUAAGAAACAAAGAUGUCUCCCACGUCUUUCCAAAUUAAAAUGUGAUGUGGAGAAAAGUUGUCUAAUUAAUUGUAACAUGUCUGAGGUGAUGUUGUCAAGCAGAAGUUUGGGUACUGUCUUGAGUCCAGAUUAAAAGGAACACCAAGAAACAUUUUUCGGCACAUGCACCUGCGAUUUCCAUCUAUUUCGUCGGUAUAUUCUUAGAACAGAGAAGGGGUGUGUUCAAACGAAACAUAUGUUCCAGAACAAGACGACAUUUCUAAUAGGAAUACUCUCAAAGUUUCAAUUCUAUACUUGGCUUCUUAACCUGGCCUCAUGGGUUUUAAUUCACUUAUAGUUUGUCUCAGAUUUCUUGUUUCUUACUAGCUUUUUGGGACACUUUUGUGAUUAGUCUGAUGAACUGUUGCUUUAAACUUCCAUUCUAAGAUUAGCUAUUAAAACCAUUUUCACUUUUAAGACCUUGUGCUCCUUUUGCCCUGGUUCCACGCUUGCCACUAGGGAGCUGCUGGCCUACACACAAAGGGGGCGCUCCUGGCAGUCGCUCAGGAAGAAGGCACAGUGGGCAACUUCUACCUUCAGUUCCAGAAAUGCAAACCCUCCUGAGAGCUAAAUGUGUUCUUGCAUCUUCAAAGCAGUGGGUACCAGGAGAAGAGCCAUAUUCGGAGGCAAGUGUUGAGCGCAUCCAGCCCGGGCAGCCAGUUCCCAAGCCUCUCUUCAGUCACCAGGCAGUAAACGGUUUACAGACACCGAGUGACUUGUGUGUCUACUUAGAAGACAAGAAGGGUGGAACCAAUCAGAAAAGGCAUCUUUCUAAGAAGAGGAGAGGACACAGAGAGGCACACAGAGAAGUGAUGAGAAGACGGAGGUGGAGAUUGGAGUGAUGAUGCAUCUACAAGCCAGGGAACAUCAAGGACUGCCAGCAACCACCAGAAGCCAGGAGAGAGGCAUGAGGCAGUUCUUCCUCCGAUCCUUCAGAGGAAAUCAACUCUACUGACACCAAGAUUUUGGAUUCUAGCCUCCUAAGAUAAGGCAGAACAAGGCAGGAGAUUCAAAGUCUUCAUUGCUGACCCGAAGUGGAGCGUACAUCAGAGGUCAGCAAGCCAAGUGUCUAUCUUAUCGUCAAAUUCCCCUGUAUCUCUGCAGGACUGUCUGAGGCUUGGGGGAAUGAUGCCAAACAGACAUCAUUUAACCAACAAGGUUGCCCUCCCUGUACUCAAAGCCUGCUGGGGGAGGAUGAGACUGGGUGUCAGAUGGCCAAUUACUCCUGUUUAUACAAGCACGUCACAGGGUAAGCAUCCUCUGCCGAGUCCGUUCUGGGAUUGAAUUGUCAAAUGCCCAUCAAUGAUAGGCUGGAUAAAGAAAAUGUGGCACAUAUACACCAUGGAAUACUAUGCAACCACAAAAAAGGAUGAGUUUGUGUCCUCUGCAGGGACAUGGAUGAAGCUGGAAAUCAUCGCUCUCAGCAAACUGACACAAGAACAGAAAACCAAACACUGCAUGUUCUCACUCAUGAGUGGGUAUUGAACAGUGAUAACGCAUGGACACAGGGAGGGGAGCAUCACACACUGGGGCCUGUUU